RNAcentral lists this ribosomal RNA (1264 nucleotides) under Hodotermopsis sjostedti. RNAcentral describes it as "16S ribosomal RNA". The stretch from base 827 to 1193 matches the Rfam family "Archaeal large subunit ribosomal RNA", at positions 2150 to 2716 of the family's 2987-position model. Lineage: Eukaryota; Metazoa; Arthropoda; Insecta; Blattodea; Termopsidae. The record is from RNAcentral.
UUGGUUUUUCUGAAAUAUCUUAUUGUUAUUGUAUAUUUUUUAGAAUUAAUUGUUUAAAUUAUAGUUUAUUUUGUACUGUAUGGGGUUUUAUUUAUUUAUUUUUGUAAGUUGAUUUAUUUUGUUGUACCUUGUGUAUCAGGGUUUAUUUAGUUUAAUUAUUUAUUUUGUAUUUCCCGAUUUCGACUGAGUUAAUGAUUUAUUUUAGUUACUGUUUCAUAAGUAUUAAUAAUAUUUUGUUGGUAAUGAAAUGUUAUCGUUUUCGAUUAUUUCUGGUUUUCUAAGAGAUGAAUUUAAUUCAUGCAUUGUUAUUUAAUUUUUCUUUUUUUUUAGUUUAUUUUAAUUUAAUGCAAAUAUUUUGGGGGAUUAUCUCCUGAGUUUCUUUUUAAAAUUAUUUUUGUUUAAUUUAUUUCUGUGGGUUUUACAUUAACUAUCAUUUUAAUUAUGUUCAAAUUUCAUUAUUUAUUAUUUAUUUAUUUUUAUUUUGUUUAAUUUUUUAUUGGAAUGUUUGUUUUAAUUUUUUUUUUUUUGUAAUUUUGAUGUAAUUAGUAUAAUUUUAUUUUAUUUUGUUUUCUUUAGUUAUUUUUUUUCUAGGAAUUAGGCAAAUAAUUUAUGUCCGCCUGUUUAUCAAAAACUACUCCUAUUGAUAGUUUUUUAGGUAUGACCUGCCCGCUGAUGUUUAUUGAAGGGCCGCGGUAUUUUGACCGUGCAAAGGUAGCAUAGUCAUUAGUCUUUUAAUUGUAGGCUGGUAUGAAUGGUUUGACGAGAUAUAUACUGUCUUGAAUAAAUUUUUUGAAUUUGGGUUUUAAGUUAAAAUACUUAAAUUUUUUUAUGGGACGAGAAGACCCUAUAGAGUUUUAUAAAGUUUAAUUUUUUGGUUUGUGGUUUAUUCUUGUUAUUUGAUUUUAUUUUGUUGGGGCGAUGGGGAGAUUUAUUUAACUCUCUUUUAUUAUUUAUAUACUUAUUAGUAUUUUUAUGAUCCUUUAUUAUUGAUUAUAAGAUUAAAUUACCUUAGGGAUAACAGCGUAAUCUUUCCUGAGAGUUCUUAUUGACGGAAGGGGUUGCGACCUCGAUGUUGGAUUAAGGUGAAUUUCUGGUGUAGGAGCUAUUAUUAAUUUAUUAGGUCUGUUCGACCUUUAAAACCUUACAUGAUCUGAGUUCAAACCGGUGUGAGCCAGGUUGGUUUCUAUCUAUAAUUAAUUUUAGUGAUUUAGUACGAAAGGACCAUUCAUUAGGAAUAAUUCUUUUUUUAUGAAUUUUAUUAAUU